GGCCGUGAUGAGCACUGCUUAUUUCUGACACCUCUUGUAUGAGAAGGGACUAGUCCCUUCCAUGAGCAGAUUAGCAACCCUCUGAGCC
Molecule: non-coding RNA, 88 nt
Organism: Triticum urartu
Lineage: Eukaryota; Viridiplantae; Streptophyta; Magnoliopsida; Poales; Poaceae
Source: Rfam